This 184-nucleotide unclassified non-coding RNA is filed under the name uncultured fungus. RNAcentral's name for it is "sequence contains ITS1". Lineage: Eukaryota; Fungi. The record is from RNAcentral.
UUAACUAUUUUAUAGUACUCAGACAAUAUUUGAUACAGAGUUGGGGUCCUCUGGCGGGCACGAUCCAGCCGAAGCCGGUGCUUGCGCGGCCCACCAAAGCAACAAAUUAAGAUAAUCAAGGGUUAGAAGGACCGGUUGCCCGGCUUCAUUAUUAAUGAUCCUUCCGCAGGUUCACCUACGGAAA